AUAUUCGUCAGCCUUAAGGCAACCUUUUUAGAAAAGAAGUUUCUUGGUGAAGAAACUGUUGCCUCUAAGAUUGAAGUUGAUGAAGUUCAACAGGUAGAAGGACCAGCACUAAUAGCUGAACCUGAGUCGGAUUUGAUUAGAUCAGAUUUAGAGCCUAAUGUACCUGCACCAUUAAGGCGAUCCGAUAGAGUACUGCAUC
RNAcentral lists this long non-coding RNA (199 nucleotides) under Elaeis guineensis (African oil palm). RNAcentral's name for it is "long non-coding RNA (EGUI_LNC059521)". The record is from RNAcentral. Lineage: Eukaryota; Viridiplantae; Streptophyta; Magnoliopsida; Arecales; Arecaceae.